This 460-nucleotide ribosomal RNA is filed under the name uncultured bacterium. RNAcentral describes it as "partial 16S ribosomal RNA". It matches the Rfam family "Bacterial small subunit ribosomal RNA", at positions 338 to 795 of the family's 1533-position model. The record is from RNAcentral.
CCUACGGGAGGCAGCAGUGAGGAAUAUUGGUCAAUGGACGAGAGUCUGAACCAGCCAAGUAGCGUGAAGGAUGACUGCCCUAUGGGUUGUAAACUUCUUUUAUAAAGGAAUAAAACGAGGCACGUGUGCCUUUUUGCAUGUACUUUAUGAAUAAGGAUCGGCUAACUCCGUGCCAGCAGCCGCGGUAAUACGGUGGAUCCGAACGUUAUCCGGAUUUAUUGGGUUUAAAGGGAGCGUUGAUUGGUUGUUAAGUCAGUUGUGAAAGUUUGCGGCUCAAACGUAAAAUUGCAAUUGAUACUGGCAGUCUAGAGUACAGUAGAGGUAAGCGGAAUUCGAGGUGUAGCGGUGAAAUGCUUAGAUAUCACGAAGAACCCCGAUUGCGAAGGCAGCUUACUAAGCUGUGACUGACAUUGAUGCUCGAAAGUGUGGGUAUCAAACAGGAUUAGAUACCCGGGUAGUC